UAGGGAAUAUUGGACAAUGGGGGCAACCCUGAUCCAGCCAUGCCGCGUGAGUGAAGAAGGCCCUCGGGUUGUAAAGCUCUUUUGUCCGGAAAGAAAAGCAUUCGGUGAAUACCCGGAUGUUCUGACGGUACCGGAAGAAUAAGCACCGGCUAACUUCGUGCCAGCAGCCGCGGUAAUACGAAGGGUGCAAGCGUUACUCGGAAUUACUGGGCGUAAAGCGUGCGUAGGUGGUUGUUUAAGUCUGAUGUGAAAGCCCUGGGCUCAACCUGGGAAUGGCAUUGGAAACUGGGCAGCUAGAGUGCGGUAGAGGGUAGUGGAAUUCCCGGUGUAGCAGUGAAAUGCAUAGAGAUCGGGAGGAACAUCUGUGGCGAAGGCGACUGCCUGGACCGGCACUGACACUGAGGCACGAAAGCGUGGGGAGCAAACA
RNAcentral lists this ribosomal RNA (427 nucleotides) under uncultured bacterium. Its description in RNAcentral is "bacterial SSU rRNA". It matches the Rfam family "Bacterial small subunit ribosomal RNA", at positions 355 to 774 of the family's 1533-position model. The record is from RNAcentral.